RNAcentral lists this ribosomal RNA (253 nucleotides) under uncultured bacterium. RNAcentral describes it as "partial 16S ribosomal RNA". It matches the Rfam family "Bacterial small subunit ribosomal RNA", at positions 524 to 776 of the family's 1533-position model. The record is from RNAcentral.
UACAGAGGUCUCAAGCGUUGUUCGGAUUCAUUGGGCGUAAAGGGCGCGUAGGCGGCGGGGUAAGUCGGGGGUGAAAUCUCAGAGCUCAACUCUGAAACUGCACUCGAUACUGCUCUGCUUGAGGACUGGAGAGGAGACUGGAAUUCACGGUGUAGCAGUGAAAUGCGUAGAUAUCGGGAGGAAGACCAGUGGCGAAGGCGGGUCUCUGGACAGUUCCUGACGCUGAGGCGCGAAGGCCAGGGGAGCAAACGGG